UACGUAUGGAGCAAGCGUUAUCCGGAUUUACUGGGUGUAAAGGGAGCGCGGGCGGCUUUGCAAGUCUGAUGUGAAAGGCCGGGGCUCAACCCCGGGACUGCAUUGGAAACUGUAAAGCUAGAGUGCCGGAGAGGUAAGCGGAAUUCCUAGUGUAGCGGUGAAAUGCGUAGAUAUUAGGAGGAACACCAGUGGCGAAGGCGGCUUACUGGACGGUAACUGACGCUGAGGCUCGAAAGCGUGGGGAGCAAACAGG
Molecule: ribosomal RNA, 253 nt
Filed under: uncultured bacterium
Lineage: Bacteria
Description: partial 16S ribosomal RNA
Rfam family: Bacterial small subunit ribosomal RNA
Source: RNAcentral